RNAcentral lists this transfer RNA (75 nucleotides) under Candidatus Woesearchaeota archaeon. RNAcentral's name for it is "tRNA-Ile". It matches the Rfam family "tRNA". Rfam says of the family: Transfer RNA (tRNA) molecules are approximately 80 nucleotides in length. Their secondary structure includes four short double-helical elements and three loops (D, anti-codon, and T loops). The record is from RNAcentral. Lineage: Archaea; Nanobdellati; Candidatus Woesearchaeota.
GGCCCCAUAGCUUAGCCUGGCAAGAGCGCUGGUCUUAUAAGCCAGAGGUCCUGGGUUCAAAUCCCGGUGGGGCCA